Molecule: long non-coding RNA, 646 nt
Filed under: Ananas comosus (pineapple)
Lineage: Eukaryota; Viridiplantae; Streptophyta; Magnoliopsida; Poales; Bromeliaceae
Description: long non-coding RNA (ACOM_LNC025721)
Source: RNAcentral
AUAUUUUUCUUAGGUCUUUUUUUUUUUUUUUGAUAUAUGAAUAUCUUAUUCGGUAUGUCCGAAAAGUUAUUCUUAUUCUGCUUAAGGAUUUUCUAAUAUGCUUGUAAGUAACAAGUUUGAUAUUUGCUUCUUCAAAGGUGUUGCUAUCCAUGAUUUGGGAUGAUAGGAAUUAUGCUAUUAUACUAUCGAAAGUACAAAAGUACAAAGCGAUUGAGCUAUCGAGUUUCCGCUGUUGGAUAAAAAGAUGUGCUGUUCGGAUGAUAGUGAUGCUAUAGGGUUGAGCGAUUGAUAUAUUAGUUGAAUAGUAUAAUCUAACGGAUAAAAAUGAUUAAAGGGUAGAUUUAACGGCAAAAAAUUUGAUAGUAUCAAGAGGUUGAUACUAUCAAUAGUAUGGUAGCCGGACUUGGAUGAUAGUAUAUUUUACUUAAAAGAUGAUUUAUCUUAUUUUGAAAGAAUGAUUUGAAACACACUCCUUAUCGAAUGUGAUACUUAUAUAUCGAAACAAGGCCUUAAGAAAUUUCUAUAGUUGAUUGAUAAGGUGUCUGAUCAAAUGUCUGAAAUGGAAUAUCAUAUUCGGUCUUCAAAUUACUUUUUUGUAAUAAAAUAAAUUAGCACGUAGAUAAAAUAUAUGCUAUUUUACUAAAUU